CGGCAUGCCUUACACAUGCAAGUCGAACGGCAGCACGGGUGCUUGCACUGGUGGCGAGUGGCGAACGGGUGAGUAAUACAUCGGAACAUGUCCUGUAGUGGGGGAUAGCCCGGCGAAAGCCGGAUUAAUACCGCAUACGAUCUAUGGAUGAAAGCGGGGGACCUUCGGGCCUCGCGCUAUAGGGUUGGCCGAUGGCUGAUUAGCUAGUUGGUGGGGUAAAGGCCUACCAAGGCGACGAUCAGUAGCUGGUCUGAGAGGACGACCAGCCACACUGGGACUGAGACACGGCCCAGACUCCUACGGGAGGCAGCAGUGGGGAAUUUUGGACAAUGGGCGAAAGCCUGAUCCAGCAAUGCCGCGUGUGUGAAGAAGGCCUUCGGGUUGUAAAGCACUUUUGUCCGGAAAGAAAUCCUUGGCUCUAAUACAGUCGGGGGAUGACGGUACCGGAAGAAUAAGCACCGGCUAACUACGUGCCAGCAGCCGCGGUAAUACGUAGGGUGCAAGCGUUAAUCGGAAUUACUGGGCGUAAAGCGUGCGCAGGCGGUUUGCUAAGACCGAUGUGAAAUCCCCGGGCUCAACCUGGGAACUGCAUUGGUGACUGGCAGGCUAGAGUAUGGCAGAGGGGGGUAGAAUUCCACGUGUAGCAGUGAAAUGCGUAGAGAUGUGGAGGAAUACCGAUGGCGAAGGCAGCCCCCUGGGCCAAUACUGACGCUCAUGCACGAAAGCGUGGGGAGCAAACAGGAUUAGAUACCCUGGUAGUCCACGCCCUAAACGAUGUCAACUAGUUGUUGGGGAUUCAUUUCCUUAGUAACGUAGCUAACGCGUGAAGUUGACCGCCUGGGGAGUACGGUCGCAAGAUUAAAACUCAAAGGAAUUGACGGGGACCCGCACAAGCGGUGGAUGAUGUGGAUUAAUUCGAUGCAACGCGAAAAACCUUACCUACCCUUGACAUGGUCGGAAUCCUGAAGAGAUUCGGGAGUGCUCGAAAGAGAACCGGCGCACAGGUGCUG
This 1010-nucleotide ribosomal RNA is filed under the name Burkholderia vietnamiensis. Its description in RNAcentral is "bacterial SSU rRNA". It matches the Rfam family "Bacterial small subunit ribosomal RNA", at positions 40 to 1043 of the family's 1533-position model. The record is from RNAcentral. Lineage: Bacteria; Pseudomonadati; Pseudomonadota; Betaproteobacteria; Burkholderiales; Burkholderiaceae.